This 404-nucleotide small RNA is filed under the name Gonialoe variegata. Its description in RNAcentral is "eukaryotic LSU rRNA". The stretch from base 332 to 404 matches the Rfam family "Eukaryotic large subunit ribosomal RNA", at positions 1 to 73 of the family's 3401-position model. The record is from RNAcentral. Lineage: Eukaryota; Viridiplantae; Streptophyta; Magnoliopsida; Asparagales; Asphodelaceae.
CCCGUGAACCAUCGAGUUUUUGAACGCAAGUUGCGCCCGAGGCCACCCGGCCGAGGGCACGCCUGCCUGGGCGUCACGCCUCUUGUCGCUCUGCCUGCCUCGCCCUGAGCGCACCGAGCUCUUGCGGCGGUGGGCGGCGGAUGCGGAGAUUGGCCCUCCGUGCCUUGCGGCGCGGUGGGUCGAAGUGUUGGUCGCCGGCCGGGCGUGGCACGGUGAGUGGUGGACGGACUAGCUCCCGAGCGCCGGGCGCCGUGAAAAACCAUCCCGAUGCCGGGCACAUGACCAGGAUGAUAAGAACCCAAACCAAACGGCGCAAUGCGCCAUCGGAUCGCGACCCCAGGUCAGGCGGGAACACCCGCUGAGUUUAAGCAUAUCAAUAAGCGGAGGAGAAGAAACUUACAAGG